Oreochromis aureus is the source of this 1203-nucleotide long non-coding RNA. Lineage: Eukaryota; Metazoa; Chordata; Actinopteri; Cichliformes; Cichlidae. The record is from Ensembl.
GCAAAAUUGUAUUUCAUUAUGGUUUAUUAGCUGCUUCAGUGAAAAACAAAUCAACAAUGCAACAAAAAAACCCCAUUGCAAAACAACAUACUGGAAAACAGUUAUUCAUCACUUGAUUGCUUCAAUACAACACUUGGGCACAUAUAUGCGGACGUUUCAUGGCUGUUUUGAUAUCGCUCUCUCUCUUAACCGAUCAAAUCUUGAUGUGGUAGCAGCUUUAAACUCGGUAUGACCCAGGUUGAUAGAGGUGCCCAGUCUGGAUUGCAGUCCUGCAUUUUGUAGGCUGGUUUUCCUACAAAACACAACAAAUAUUAGCCUGCAAAGCCACAGUGAACAAAGCGGUAUAGCACAACGAAUUCAAUUCAGAUCAAUAUAAGACUUAUUUGUGUCAAGAGAUUUAUUCUAAAGACACUUCUUCAGCUAAGAGUCUAAGGGUAGAAACACACACAGACGCUGUGGUUUUCACUUGUAUACAAGGGCGGUCACAGAACGCUCACACCAGAGUGGGGGCCCUGUGAUGCGCGCUCUGUUCUUGCACUUGUCUUUAUUUAUAUGCAAAAAUAAUACAACAGUGAAUACGUCUAUUCAUAGGCAGAGGAAAGUUAGUGCGUAGGGAGUGAAGAUAAGAGCGGUUUAGGUGUAUGAAUGUGUGUUGUGGGAUACAGAAAGACGCGGCUUCUCUUCUUGUUAGGGAGCCGCAGAUAAGAGUGUCCAGCUCUCCUCUUCCUGGCAGGAGUGAAAUAAUAACAGCUUAUUCAGCUGUGAGAAAGAAUUUAUAAAACAGUCCUGUAGUGGACAACAGUCUAAGUCAUCAAAAGGUCAACAUACAGUAUUCUAUCAUAUGCAAACUUAUAUCAUUAAAAGCUUAUACUGACUACUAAGUACAAUUUUCCAUUGACAAUAUCCAUAAGUCUUAGGUACUUUUAAUGUUGUUAAUCAUAUUAUUUGUCCAUGUGAUAAUGUCCAAGCUAUACUGUUGGAGUCAAAUUGUUAAAUGCUGUCAUUGUUUUACUUAAAUUUGUAAGUCUUAGUUCAAACAUCAUGAUCAAAGACAUUCUUUUGUUUCUGACUCCCUCACCAGCCUGUCGAAUGGUGAGGGAGGCUGUAGUGUUUUAUUAUAGGGGACAAAUCCUCUGUGAAGGUUCUGUUUUCUUGUUUAGUAAGCUUCCUGCCUUUUUGACCCUUUUGUGGGCAGGAGGUCAC